GUAGGUGGCAAGCGUUGUCCGGGAAUUAUUGGGGCGUGAAGCGCGCGCAGGCGGUUCUUUAAGUCUGAUGUGAAAGCCCACGGGCUCAACCGUGGAGGGUCAUUGGAAACUGGAGAACUUGAGUACAGAAGAGGAAAGCGGAAUUCCACGUGUAGCGGUGAAAUGCGUAGAGAUGUGGAGGAACACCAGUGGCGAAGGCGGCUUUCUGGUCUGUAACUGACGCUGAGGCGCGAAAGCGUGGGGAGCAAACAGGAUUAGAUACCCUGGUAGUCCACACCGUAAACGAUGAGUGCUAAGUGUUAGGGGGUUUCCGCCCCUUAGUGCUGCAGCUAACGCAUUAAGCACUCCGCCUGGGGAGUACGGCCGCAAAGGCUG
This 375-nucleotide ribosomal RNA is filed under the name uncultured organism. RNAcentral's name for it is "partial 16S ribosomal RNA". It matches the Rfam family "Bacterial small subunit ribosomal RNA", at positions 527 to 896 of the family's 1533-position model. The record is from RNAcentral.